RNAcentral lists this long non-coding RNA (409 nucleotides) under Junco hyemalis (dark-eyed junco). RNAcentral describes it as "lncRNA (ENSJHYG00000015328.1)". The record is from RNAcentral. Lineage: Eukaryota; Metazoa; Chordata; Aves; Passeriformes; Passerellidae.
CUUCUUUAACUCUGCCUUUUUUAUUUUUUCCCUUUGGUUAGGUGUGUCAAGACCUGGUAUGAGAGGUCCCCCAGGAUUUCCUGGGCCAAAAGGAGCAAAAGGAGAGAGAGGACAAACUGGCUUGUGUAUUGUAGGCCCUCCAGGACUGCCUGGUAUUACUGGCAGGCCUGGUUCUGUUGGAUUGCCAGGUCCUCCAGGAGAGCCAGGUAGAGUAACAUUUGGAACUGGCCUGCCAGGACUCCCAGGAGAGCCAGGGUGUACAGGACCUCCAGGACCUCCAGGAGAUACUGGCAUGAGAGGUGAUGAUGCUCGUGUGUGUACUGAUUGUAGCUACAUUCCGGGAAUGCCUGGUCUGCCUGGUUCUGCUGGGCCCCCUGGUCAGGAUGGAAUGCCUGGUAAAUUGUCUUGU